GGUUCGCUCUCUGAGGCCGUGGGACGGUGACUGCGUUGGGCGUGGACGCUCCUAGCUCGCUCCCUCGGCGGCUCCUGGGACCCCAAGAUGGCGGCGGCGCUGAGGCGGCUGCGGGCGCUGGGCCGGCGGCGGCGGCGGCCACUUUCACUCACUGAGAGGAGCGGAGCAGGGACACGGGGAGCCAUGGCGGGGGGGAGGAGAGGCGCCAUAGCCAGGCCAGAACAAUCGAGCCGCUACUCAGCGGGCUUACCGCUGCCCCGCCCACGCUCACUGCUCGUCGCCAGCCCGUGGCCGUCCGCAGUGCAGCUGCGGUCGGCCUCGUGCAGCUCGCACCCCGCCGCUACAACCUGACGCCCCGCGCGGACCGGGGUUCGGGGGGAGAUCCUGAUCCAUGCCAUCUGAGUGCAGAUUGGUCGGGGCUGGGACUGCCGAAGAUUGCCGAAAGGCGGCGGGGAGGAGGAGGAGGAUGUCAUCGCUAGAGUGAGCAAGCAGAUCUCGCGGGAGCAAAUGUCGCGAGACCUCUCCAGCUUCCAGAGGCUACUUGCAUUCCUCGGCUCCUGGCUCCCUUCUUCCAUCUAAAAGCCAGCAAUGAUGAGUAACACAGCGACUCUACAAGGGGUGGGGAGGAAAAGAACUCACCUAAGUACUGAGGGAAACAGUAUCUUGACUGGAUACCUAAGAAUAAACCAACUGAACUGUACAUAAAUUCUGUGAUCCACAUCGUAAGUAUUUCUCUCCAGUAUGCAUGUUAGAAUUAAGCAAAUAUAUUGUAGAUCAUAAGCUGUGUUUCUCACUGUUGGAGAAAAAAGUUAUUAAGUAAGGAAGAGGGGAAAGCUAAAAUGAAGGCUGUGGUGUUGGAUUGGAUUCUGAGGUAUCUGUAUAAACUCAUGGUUUUUAAUAUAUGUAAAAUAGGUACAGAAAUAUAGAUUGGUGUGUAUGUGUGAAUUAAUAAACAUAUUUCCUAGUUCUGUCUGCUGAGAGUAUUUAGAAGCAAUGAGGAUACCUAGCAUCCAGAUCUUGAUUUCUAAACACCAUUUUCCAAUAAAAAGAACAAGGAGAACCUUGGAGAAAUAACUGAUUCCUAGGCUGAGGCAGGGAAACUACCAGAUGAGCCUGGAAUAUAUUGUGGUGCCAGGAAAUAAUGCUUAAAAAAGGAUGUCACAAGAACACAGCAGCCAAUCUGAAAGAGCUCCUAAUGGCCAAAGCAACAAAAUAAAAAUGACAAUAUUGCAUUAUGACCCAUGGACCCAUGGUAUUUAUUUUUAAUAUUCAUGCAUCCAUACUGAUACAAACAAAUAAUUGGUUAUUUAAAUGGAUGGGAGAAAAGGGACAACCCUUUCUUAGAGUAGAAUUCCAAUUAAUAAAUGGAGAAGGAAAGAGGGAUAACAAAAAUCACCACUAGGCAAACAUUGCAGUAAUAACUUGCAGACACGAUCCACAGAUGGAUGCUAAAUUAGUAGGUGAAAAUUUGAGGAGAAACAGGAUUUACAUAGAUUCAAAGUGUUUCACCCAAGAUACAUUUUAGCACAAAGGGAAAGAUAGUAACUUAAUAAUGGUGAGGGACUUCCCUGGUGGCACAGUGGUUAAGAAUCUGCCUGCCAACGAAGGGGAAAUGCGUUUGAUCCUUGGUCUGGGAAGAUCCCAUAUGCCACGGAGCAGUUAAGCCCAUGUGCCACAACUACCGAGCCUGCACUCUAGAGCCCAUGAGCCACAACUACUGAGGCAGCAUGCCCCAACUACUGAAGCCCGCGCACGUAGAGCCUGUGCUUCUCAAGAAGAGAAGCCACCAUUGGGCUUCCCUGGUGGCGCAGUGGUUGAGAGUCCGCCUGCCGAUGCAGGGGACACGGGUUUGUGCCGCGGUCUGCGAAGAUCCCACAUGCCGC
Long non-coding RNA from Globicephala melas (long-finned pilot whale), 1883 nucleotides. RefSeq lists it as uncharacterized. The record is from RefSeq and is a predicted model, not a curated record. Lineage: Eukaryota; Metazoa; Chordata; Mammalia; Artiodactyla; Delphinidae.